AGAGUUUGAUCCUGGCUCAGGAUGAACGCUAGCGGCAGGCUUAAUACAUGCAAGUCGUGGGGCAGCAGGGCUGUAGCAAUACAGUCGCUGGCGACCGGCAAACGGGUGCGGAACACGUACACAACCUUCCUUCAAGCGGGGAGUAGCCCGGGGAAACCCGGAUUAAUACCCCGUAUUAUAAUGGAGUGGCAUCACUUUAUUAUUAAAGCUCCGGCGCUUGAAGAUGGGUGUGCGGCUGAUUAGGUAGUUGGCGGGGUAACGGCCCACCAAGCCUACGAUCAGUAACUGGUGUGAGAGCACGACCAGUCACACGGGCACUGAGACACGGGCCCGACUCCUACGGGAGGCAGCAGUAAGGAAUAUUGGUCAAUGGACGCAAGUCUGAACCAGCCAUGCCGCGUGGAGGAUGAAGGUCCUCUGGAUUGUAAACUUCUUUUAUCUGGGAAGAAACCCAUGGAUUCUUCUGUGGUUGACGGUACCAGAUGAAUAAGCACCGGCUAACUCCGUGCCAGCAGCGGCGGUAAUUC
RNAcentral lists this ribosomal RNA (527 nucleotides) under uncultured bacterium. RNAcentral describes it as "bacterial SSU rRNA". It matches the Rfam family "Bacterial small subunit ribosomal RNA", at positions 8 to 526 of the family's 1533-position model. The record is from RNAcentral.